RNAcentral lists this transfer RNA (64 nucleotides) under Lilioceris yunnana. RNAcentral's name for it is "tRNA-Tyr". It matches the Rfam family "tRNA". From Rfam's summary of the family: Transfer RNA (tRNA) molecules are approximately 80 nucleotides in length. Lineage: Eukaryota; Metazoa; Arthropoda; Insecta; Coleoptera; Chrysomelidae. The record is from RNAcentral.
GGUAAAAUGACUGAUUAAAGUGAUAAACUGUAAAUUUAUAAAUGAAUUUUUAAAUUCUUUUACC